GAAGGUGUAGCUCAAGUGGCAGAGCACAUGCUUAGCAUGCACAAGGUCCUGGGUUCAGUCCCCAGUACCUCCU
This 73-nucleotide transfer RNA is filed under the name Camelus bactrianus (Bactrian camel). It matches the Rfam family "tRNA". From Rfam's summary of the family: Transfer RNA (tRNA) molecules are approximately 80 nucleotides in length. Their secondary structure includes four short double-helical elements and three loops (D, anti-codon, and T loops). RNAcentral also lists the same sequence under 2 other names. The record is from Rfam by way of RNAcentral. Lineage: Eukaryota; Metazoa; Chordata; Mammalia; Artiodactyla; Camelidae.